GACGAACGCUGGCGGCGUGCCUAAUACAUGCAAGUAGAACGCUGAAGAGAGGAGCUUGCUCUUCUUGGAUGAGUUGCGAACGGGUGAGUAACGCGUAGGUAACCUGCCUUGUAGCGGGGGAUAACUAUUGGAAACGAUAGCUAAUACCGCAUAACAAUGGAUGACACAUGUCAUUUAUUUGAAAGGGGCAAUUGCUCCACUACAAGAUGGACCUGCGUUGUAUUAGCUAGUAGGUGAGGUAACGGCUCACCUAGGCGACGAUACAUAGCCGACCUGAGAGGGUGAUCGGCCACACUGGGACUGAGACACGGCCCAGACUCCUACGGGAGGCAGCAGUAGGGAAUCUUCGGCAAUGGGGCAACCCUGACCGAGCAACGCCGCGUGAGUGAAGAAGGUUGUCGGAUCGUAAAGCUCUGUUGUAAGUCAAGAACGAGUGUGAGAGUGGAAAGUUCACACUGUGACGGUAGCUUACCAGAAAGGGACGGCUAACUACGUG
RNAcentral lists this ribosomal RNA (496 nucleotides) under uncultured bacterium. RNAcentral describes it as "partial 16S ribosomal RNA". It matches the Rfam family "Bacterial small subunit ribosomal RNA", at positions 28 to 507 of the family's 1533-position model. The record is from RNAcentral.